Molecule: transfer RNA, 73 nt
Filed under: Rattus norvegicus (Norway rat)
Lineage: Eukaryota; Metazoa; Chordata; Mammalia; Rodentia; Muridae
Rfam family: tRNA
About the family: Transfer RNA (tRNA) molecules are approximately 80 nucleotides in length. Their secondary structure includes four short double-helical elements and three loops (D, anti-codon, and T loops).
Source: Rfam by way of RNAcentral
GGAGAGAUGGCUCAGAGGUUAAGAGCACUGACUGCUCCUCCAGAAGACCUGGGUUCAAGUCCCGGUUCCUAUG